CAGUCGAACGGAACUGUUUUGAAAGAUUUCUUCGGAAUGAAUUUGAUUUACUUUAGUGGCGGACGGGUGAGUAACGCGUGAGUAACCUGCCUUCAAGAGGGGGAUAACAUUCUGAAAAGAAUGCUAAUACCGCAUGACAUAUCGGAACCACAUGGUUUUGAUAUCAAAGAUUUUAUCGCUUGAAGAUGGACUCGCGUCCGAUUAGUUAGUUGGUGAGGUAACGGCUCACCAAGACCGCGAUCGGUAGCCGGACUGAGAGGUUGAACGGCCACAUUGGGACUGAGACACGGCCCAGACUCCUACGGGAGGCAGCAGUGGGGGAUAUUGCGCAAUGGGGGCAACCCUGACGCAGCAACGCCGCGUGAAGGAUGAAGGUUUUCGGAUUGUAAACUUCUUUUAUUAAGGACGAAGAAUGACGGUACUUAAUGAAUAAGCUCCGGCUAACUACGUGCCAGCAGCCGCGGUAAUACGUAGGGAGCAAGCGUUGUCCGGAUUUACUGGGUGUAAAGGGUGCGUAGGCGGCUUUGCAAGUCAGAUGUGAAAUCUAUGGGCUCAACCCAUAAACUGCAUUUGAAACUGUAGAGCUUGAGUGAAGUAGAGGCAGGCGGAAUUCCCCGUGUAGCGGUGAAAUGCGUAGAGAUGGGGAGGGACACCAGUGGCGAAGGCGGCCUGCUGGGCUUUAACUGACGCUGAGGCACGAAAGCGUGGGUAGCAAACAGGAUUAGAUACCCUGGUAGUCCACGCUG
This 746-nucleotide ribosomal RNA is filed under the name uncultured bacterium. RNAcentral describes it as "bacterial SSU rRNA". It matches the Rfam family "Bacterial small subunit ribosomal RNA", at positions 59 to 802 of the family's 1533-position model. The record is from RNAcentral.